RNAcentral lists this ribosomal RNA (495 nucleotides) under uncultured bacterium. Its description in RNAcentral is "partial 16S ribosomal RNA". It matches the Rfam family "Bacterial small subunit ribosomal RNA", at positions 28 to 507 of the family's 1533-position model. The record is from RNAcentral.
GACGAACGCUGGCGGCGUGCCUAAUACAUGCCAGUAGAACGCUGAAGGAGGAGCUUGCUUCUCUGGAUGAGUUGCGAACGGGUGAGUAACGCGUAGGUAACCUGCCUGGUAGCGGGGGAUAACUAUUGGAAACGAUAGCUAAUACCGCAUAAUAGCAGUUGUUGCAUGACAACUGUUUGAAAGGUGCAAUUGCACCACUACCAGAUGGACCUGCGUUGUAUUAGCUAGUUGGUGGGGUAACGGCUCACCAAGGCGACGAUACAUAGCCGACCUGAGAGGGUGAUCGGCCACACUGGGACUGAGACACGGCCCAGACUCCUACGGGAGGCAGCAGUAGGGAAUCUUCGGCAAUGGACGGAAGUCUGACCGAGCAACGCCGCGUGAGUGAAGAAGGGUUUCGGAUCGUAAAGCUCUGUUGUAAGAGAAGAACGAGUGUGAGAGUGGGAAGUUCACACUGUGACGGUAUCUUACCAGAAAGGGACGGCUAACUACGUG